GGGGGCGAUCGGCUUCGACGGGGGCACCGGGACCCAUGUCGCGUGCCGAGUAUCCUGGCCUGCUCGUAAAUCCCAACCAGGAACACCCAACUGCGAACGACAACGCGGUUCCCUUCGCGCUCGCGGCCUUAGAGCCCCUGCGUGAACGUCCCUCUCCCGAGCCUGCCAGAGCUCGCUAGAGGGGCGUAACCGAUCUGGCUGGCCCCGCGCGGCGCGCUUCACGCGCGGGGUGAGACGACUGAGGCGCUGACCUCGCGAGGGCCCGUCCGUGGGCGCGAGCGAGGUGAGACUGUUCGCGGACUACGCACGUAGACGCAUGGGCGACGGGCUCUCGGACCUGGGUUCGAUUCCCAGCGCCUCCACGG
RNAcentral lists this transfer-messenger RNA (365 nucleotides) under Polyangiaceae. RNAcentral's name for it is "JADLFU01 sp020849655 Standard tmRNA". It matches the Rfam family "transfer-messenger RNA". From Rfam's summary of the family: Bacterial tmRNA, also known as 10Sa RNA or SsrA, is named for its dual tRNA and mRNA-like properties. The record is from RNAcentral. Lineage: Bacteria; Pseudomonadati; Myxococcota; Polyangiales. RNAcentral also lists the same sequence under 1 other name.